Molecule: long non-coding RNA, 329 nt
Organism: Cajanus cajan (pigeon pea)
Lineage: Eukaryota; Viridiplantae; Streptophyta; Magnoliopsida; Fabales; Fabaceae
Source: RefSeq, a predicted model, not a curated record
AAGAAUUAAGAUUUCAAGUGGAAACAUGGCUAUGGGAAGUUUUUUUGCAGCUGUACCUGCCGUUGCUGCUGCUGUUGGAUUUUAUUUCGUUGACAGAAACUAUAUCAAGGAAAUCAAACAAGGUUCAUCAGUAUCCAAUAAAAAAAUGCUAGCAGAAGUGAAAGAACAAGCAAAGACCCUUCAAAAGCCAAAAUUGGCACCACAGCUUGAUGGAUUACAUUGUUUCGAAACCUUGGUGAUGAAUUGAAUUUGCUGGGGCUGGGGCUGUGUUGUACCUUAUGCUGAAUGAAUGAUAGAUUAUAUAUUUGUUAAUAUGUAUUUCCAUCUUA